CUCGCAAGAGUGAACUAGCUAACUGAAAUCACUAAUUGAUUUUAUCAAUGUGAAGUGCUAAGGGAAAAUAAUGAUACUACCUUGGUAAGAGUGUUGUCUAAUUCUGGUGCCAGAAGACUCGGUAAGGCCAGUAACGCAAACGUUAGUCAUCUUAAUCAGGCGUAAAGGGUUUGUAGGCUGCUUUUAGUAUCUUUUAAUUACUCUUAAAAAAAUUUAAAUAAAUAAAGAAAGAAAGUUAAAUUACUAUUUUAAGUUGUUUGAUAUAAAAGCUAGAAUCAAUUAGAAGUUAAAACGUAUAAUACUUAGAGGAGAGUUAAUAACCACAGAACCUAAGGGGAGUACUAAAGGUGUAAACAACUAACUAUUUAUGAUUGACGCUGAGACACGAAGGUGAGGAUAGGGAAGAGGAUUAGAGACCCUGGUACCCCUCUCUGUAAACGAUGAAUGGUAGUUGUCAGUUUUUACUGGUGACGAUGUUAACGCGUUAACCAUUCCGCCUUGGGAGUACGACUGCAAAGUUGAAAACAAAAAAAUUAGUCGGUCUCGAAGCAAACGGAAUGAAGCAU
Molecule: ribosomal RNA, 566 nt
Filed under: Fomitopsis dochmia
Lineage: Eukaryota; Fungi; Basidiomycota; Agaricomycetes; Polyporales; Fomitopsidaceae
Description: partial small subunit ribosomal RNA
Rfam family: Bacterial small subunit ribosomal RNA
Source: RNAcentral